AUGCACGCUGGCGGCGUGCCUAAUACAUGCAAGUCGAGCGAACGGACGAGAAUCUUUCUUCUCUUAUGUUAUCGGCUUACUGUUGAGUAACACGUGGAUAACCUACCUAUAAGACUUGGAUAACUUCGGGAAACCGGAGCUAAUACCGGAUAAUAUUUUUAACCUCAUGGUUCAAAAGUUAAAUACGUUCUUGCUUUCACUUAUAGAUUUAUCAGCGCUGCAUUAGCUAGUUGGUAAGGUAACGGCUUACCAAGGCAACGAUGCAUAGCCGAACUGAGAGGGUGAUCGGCCACACUGGAACUGAGACAAGGUCCAGAAUCCUACGGGAGGAAGCAGUAGGGAAUAUUACGCAAUGGGCGAAAGCAUGAAGGAGCAACGACGCGUGAGUGAUGAAGGUCUACGGAUCGUAAAACUCUGUUAUUAGGGAAGAACAUAUGUGUAAGUAACUGUGCACAUAUUGACGGUAACUAAUCAGAAAGACACGGCUAAAUACGUG
This 496-nucleotide ribosomal RNA is filed under the name uncultured bacterium. RNAcentral's name for it is "partial 16S ribosomal RNA". It matches the Rfam family "Bacterial small subunit ribosomal RNA", at positions 29 to 507 of the family's 1533-position model. The record is from RNAcentral.